Molecule: ribosomal RNA, 443 nt
Filed under: uncultured bacterium
Lineage: Bacteria
Description: partial 16S ribosomal RNA
Rfam family: Bacterial small subunit ribosomal RNA
Source: RNAcentral
CCUACGGGUGACAGCAGUGGGGAAUAUUGCACAAUGGGGGAAACCCUGAUGCAGCAACGCCGCGUGAAGGAAGACGGUUUUCGGAUUGUAAACUUCUAUCAAUAGGGAAGAAAGAAAUGACGGUACCAAAAUAAGAAGCCCCGGCUAACGACGUGCCAGCAGCCGCGGUAAUACGUAGGGGGCAAGCGUUAUCCGGAAUUACGGGGUGUAAAGGGAGAGUAGGCGGCAAGGUAAGCGAUAGGUGAAAGCCUUACGCUUAACGUAAGGAUGGCAUAACGAACUAUCUAGCUAGAGUACAGGAGAGGCAAGCGGAAUUCCUAGUGUCGCGGUGAAAUGCGUAGAUAUUAGGAAGAACACCAGUGGCGAAGGCGGCUUUCUGGACUGAACCUGACGCUGAGGCUCGAACGCGUGGGGAGCGAACAGGAUUAGAUACCCUGGUAGUC